This 1245-nucleotide ribosomal RNA is filed under the name Bacillus licheniformis. RNAcentral describes it as "bacterial SSU rRNA". It matches the Rfam family "Bacterial small subunit ribosomal RNA", at positions 38 to 1271 of the family's 1533-position model. The record is from RNAcentral. Lineage: Bacteria; Bacillati; Bacillota; Bacilli; Caryophanales; Bacillaceae.
GAAGGGGUGCUAUACAUGCAAGUCGAGCGGACCGACGGGAGCUUGCUCCCUUAGGUCAGCGGCGGACGGGUGAGUAACACGUGGGUAACCUGCCUGUAAGACUGGGAUAACUCCGGGAAACCGGGGCUAAUACCGGAUGCUUGAUUGAACCGCAUGGUUCAAUCAUAAAAGGUGGCUUUUAGCUACCACUUACAGAUGGACCCGCGGCGCAUUAGCUAGUUGGUGAGGUAACGGCUCACCAAGGCGACGAUGCGUAGCCGACCUGAGAGGGUGAUCGGCCACACUGGGACUGAGACACGGCCCAGACUCCUACGGGAGGCAGCAGUAGGGAAUCUUCCGCAAUGGACGAAAGUCUGACGGAGCAACGCCGCGUGAGUGAUGAAGGUUUUCGGAUCGUAAAACUCUGUUGUUAGGGAAGAACAAGUACCGUUCGAAUAGGGCGGCACCUUGACGGUACCUAACCAGAAAGCCACGGCUAACUACGUGCCAGCAGCCGCGGUAAUACGUAGGUGGCAAGCGUUGUCCGGAAUUAUUGGGCGUAAAGCGCGCGCAGGCGGUUUCUUAAGUCUGAUGUGAAAGCCCCCGGCUCAACCGGGGAGGGUCAUUGGAAACUGGGGAACUUGAGUGCAGAAGAGGAGAGUGGAAUUCCACGUGUAGCGGUGAAAUGCGUAGAGAUGUGGAGGAACACCAGUGGCGAAGGCGACUCUCUGGUCUGUAACUGACGCUGAGGCGCGAAAGCGUGGGGAGCGAACAGGAUUAGAUACCCUGGUAGUCCACGCCGUAAACGAUGAGUGCUAAGUGUUAGAGGGUUUCCGCCCUUUAGUGCUGCAGCAAACGCAUUAAGCACUCCGCCUGGGGAGUACGGUCGCAAGACUGAAACUCAAAGGAAUUGACGGGGGCCCGCACAAGCGGUGGAGCAUGUGGUGUAAUUCGAAGCAACGCGAAGAACCUUACCAGGUCUUGACAUCCUCUGACAACCCUAGAGAUAGGGCUUCUCCUUCGGGGGCAGAGUGACAGGUGGUGCAUGGUUGUCGUCAGCUCGUGUCGUGAGAUGUUGGGUUAAGUCCCGCACGAGCCCACCCUUGAUCUUAUUUGCCAGCAUUCAGUUGGGGACUCUAAAGUGACUGCCGGUGACAAACCGGAAGAAGGGGGGGAUGACGUCAAUCAUCAUGCCCCUUAUGACCUGGGGUACCCCCGUCCUCCAUGGGCCGAAAAAAGGGCCGCAAACCCCCCAGGGUAAACCCU